UUGGGGUGUGACAAAUGAAGUGGUAUAGCUAUUAUAAUAUUAGAUAUUAGUUUGGAGUAAUACUUGGCUUUACUAUUAUGAUAUUAUGCAUAUAUGUUUUGAUCGACACUAUCACUAAUAUAAGAGAUGUACCCAUUUGACUUACCUAAGCUUUUUUGAGUUAUGAGAGUCUAUUUGGCUGUCUGACUCAUGUCCUUUGUACUG
RNAcentral lists this long non-coding RNA (204 nucleotides) under Elaeis guineensis (African oil palm). RNAcentral's name for it is "long non-coding RNA (EGUI_LNC043338)". The record is from RNAcentral. Lineage: Eukaryota; Viridiplantae; Streptophyta; Magnoliopsida; Arecales; Arecaceae.